Mycoplasma wenyonii str. Massachusetts is the source of this 74-nucleotide transfer RNA. It matches the Rfam family "tRNA". From Rfam's summary of the family: Transfer RNA (tRNA) molecules are approximately 80 nucleotides in length. NCBI's taxonomy places the organism in Bacteria, Bacillati, Mycoplasmatota, Mollicutes, Mycoplasmatales, Mycoplasmataceae. The record is from Rfam.
GCACCUAUAGCUUAAUUGGAUAAAGCACUUGACUUCGGAUCAAGAGAGUAUGGGUUCAAGUCCUAUUGGGUGUG